AGCAGCCGCGGUAAUUCCAGCUCCAAUAGCGUAUAUUAAAGUUGUUGCAGUUAAAAAGCUCGUAGUUGAAUUUCGGGAUUCUACCGUCGGUCGGGCUAACAAGUCUGUACUGGUGUGUAGAAUUUCUACCUUCUGGGGAACUAUCAUGUUAUUAAUUUAGCGUGGUGGGAAACCAGGACCUUUACCUUGAAAAAAUUAGAGUGUUCAAAGCAGGCUUACGUCUGAAUACAUUAGCAUGGAAUAAUAGAAUAGGACGGUGGUCCUGUUUUGUUGGUUUCUGAAUCACCGUAAUGAUUAAUAGGGAUAGUUGGGGGCAUUAGUAUUCAAUUGUCAGAGGUGAAAUUCUUGGAUUUAUUGAAGACUAACUUCUGCGAAAGCAUUUGCCAAGGAUGUUUUCAUUAAUCAAGAACGAAAGUUAGGGGAUCGAAGACGAUCAGAUACCGUCGUAGUCUUAACCAUAAACUAUGCCGACUAGGAAUCGGGCGACGUUAUUCUCAUGACUCG
RNAcentral lists this ribosomal RNA (504 nucleotides) under Scutellospora sp. Scut1. RNAcentral's name for it is "SSU rRNA". It matches the Rfam family "Eukaryotic small subunit ribosomal RNA", at positions 569 to 1078 of the family's 1831-position model. The record is from RNAcentral. Lineage: Eukaryota; Fungi; Glomeromycota; Glomeromycetes; Diversisporales; Gigasporaceae.